This 83-nucleotide transfer RNA is filed under the name Herbaspirillum sp. Its description in RNAcentral is "tRNA-Arg". It matches the Rfam family "tRNA". From Rfam's summary of the family: Transfer RNA (tRNA) molecules are approximately 80 nucleotides in length. Their secondary structure includes four short double-helical elements and three loops (D, anti-codon, and T loops). Further hydrogen bonds mediate the characteristic L-shaped molecular structure. tRNAs have two regions of fundamental functional importance: the anti-codon, which is responsible for specific mRNA codon recognition, and the 3' end, to which the tRNAs corresponding amino acid is attached (by aminoacyl-tRNA synthetases). tRNAs cope with the degeneracy of the genetic code in two manners: having more than one tRNA (with a specific anti-codon) for a particular amino acid; and 'wobble' base-pairing, i.e. permitting non-standard base-pairing at the 3rd anti-codon position. The record is from RNAcentral. Lineage: Bacteria; Pseudomonadati; Pseudomonadota; Betaproteobacteria; Burkholderiales; Oxalobacteraceae.
GGCAGGAUGGCCGAGUGGUAUGAGGUGCUGGUUUACGGGCACCAGUCACUUCGGUGGCGUGGGUUCAAGUCCCACUCCUGUCA